Molecule: ribosomal RNA, 737 nt
Filed under: uncultured Bacteroidota bacterium
Lineage: Bacteria; Pseudomonadati; Bacteroidota
Description: bacterial SSU rRNA
Rfam family: Bacterial small subunit ribosomal RNA
Source: RNAcentral
AGGCUUAACACAUGCAAGUCGAGGGGUAACAGGAGUAGCUUGCUAUUUGCUGACGACCGGCGCACGGGUGCGUAACGCGUAUAGAAUCUACCUUGUACUAGGGGAUAGCCUUGGGAAACGAAGAUUAAUACCCUAUAGUAAGUAUUUAUGGCAUCAUUUAUACUUUAAAGGUUACGGUACAAGAUGACUAUGCGUCCUAUUAGUUUGUUGGUGAGGUAACGGCUCACCAAGACUUCGAUAGGUAGGGGCCCUGAGAGGGGGAUCCCCCACACUGGUACUGAGACACGGACCAGACUCCUACGGGAGGCAGCAGUGAGGAAUAUUGGACAAUGGAGGCAACUCUGAUCCAGCCAUGCCGCGUGCAGGAUGACGGCCCUAUGGGUUGUAAACUGCUUUUAUGUAGGAAGAAACACUCUCACGUGUGAGAGCUUGACGGUACUACAAGAAUAAGGACCGGCUAACUCCGUACCAGCAGCCGCGGUAAUACGGAGGGUCCAAGCGUUAUCCGGAAUCAUUGGGUUUAAAGGGUCCGUAGGCGGGCUAUUAAGUCAGAGGUGAAAGUUUGCAGCUCAACUGUAAAAUUGCCUUUGAAACUGGUAGUCUUGAAUUAUUAUGAAGUGGUUAGAAUAAGUAGUGUAGCGGUGAAAUGCAUAGAUAUUACUUAGAAUACCAAUUGCGAAGGCAGAUCACUAAUAAUAUAUUGACGCUGAGGGACGAAAGCGUGGGGAGCGAACAGG